UUUAAAAAAUACUAAUCUUAUGUGGACAUGAAUUACGGUGAACAAGUUUGUUCACUUUUUACUUUUUUUUAUAAGCUUUAAAGUAACUAAAUGUUGGUUCAAUUCAUUGAUAUCAGACAGUAGUGGUUAAAUUAACCAAUGUAAACAAAGCAGACAGCAGUGCAAAGCAGAAUAACCUGACUGACCUUGACCUGUCACUACAGGUGGCUCACCAACCAGUCAGGUCUACAGUUGAUUGAAAAUCCAGGCUAUCCCUAUCUGGUGUCUGUCACUACAAGAGUCAAUGGAAUUCUCACUUCCUGUCACUUUUCAUUCAAUUUAUAAAAAUAAAUGUUACUUCAGUUGUAUUCCACAAAAUAACACUUUAAAGUACAGGUUUAUUACAUAAAAUCACUGUUUCAAUAUAUUAAUUUCUACUCUGAAGAUAGUUAUAAAAUGUUUAAUUUACAGUUCCAAUAUUAUAAGUUAAACAUGUGGUUUCAACUUAGAUCAAGAUACAGCAGACGUGGACCAGCAGUCGACGACGGUGGGACCGAGCCAGCCACCUCCGUCGUCUACUUUAAUGAACAGUAACAAUCAGAAACAUCCUCUUCCGACUCAGAAAUCGAAGCGCUGCCUGCCAUAGAAAAUAUUGGAGACGCCGUAGGAAUAUCGGAAGGAGAAGAUAACCCAGAGGCCUCAAUGACGGCAAUGGCAGGCAGCAUCGAACGAUUGUGAAGAGACGAUGCAGCAAAAGACUAAAGCACUAAAAGCAGAAGAUUGACUCGAAGAUUGACUCCUCCCUACCCUGAUUGACUCCCCUUACCCUGAUUGACCCCCCUUACCCUGAUUGACCCCCCCUACCCUGAUUGACUCCCCCCUACCCUGAUUGACAAAUCAUUACCCGGACUCGACCCCUACACAUGGCCAACGAUGACAGCUGUCAACGACGACGACCUAAAACCUGAUGUACGGGGUACGGUGCGCAAGGAACCAUGCAAAAACUAAGUGUAAUACUAGCUGUAACAAAUGAAACAUAUGUAACAGCACGUGUGUAAUAACAUGCAUUUAUAUGUCAUAAAA
Homalodisca vitripennis (glassy-winged sharpshooter) is the source of this 1062-nucleotide long non-coding RNA. RefSeq lists it as uncharacterized. The record is from RefSeq and is a predicted model, not a curated record. Lineage: Eukaryota; Metazoa; Arthropoda; Insecta; Hemiptera; Cicadellidae. The transcript is spliced from 3 exons.